Rhincodon typus (whale shark) is the source of this 279-nucleotide long non-coding RNA. RefSeq lists it as uncharacterized. The transcript is spliced from 2 exons. Lineage: Eukaryota; Metazoa; Chordata; Chondrichthyes; Orectolobiformes; Rhincodontidae. The record is from RefSeq and is a predicted model, not a curated record.
CUCACUGAACUGGGCAGAAGUUUCUGGAAUCCUCACUGCGCCGCCGCCACUGCCACCAGUAGGACCGCCCUUUCACCCGGAAACAGUUUGCGCAUCUGCUUUUUAGCCCCACUGGAGGCUCUGGAUUAUGGUUUGUAAACGCUGUGCGUCGAGGGGAACCUAUUGGAAAAAGGUGCUGAGGUGACCUACACCCAAAUCCUGGAUUAGCAGUGAUAUUGACUUUGCAACUGUCAGCAUUCCCUGUCAUUACUUAGCCAAUUAUAGAACUCUUGCCUUAAA